Molecule: ribosomal RNA, 256 nt
Filed under: uncultured bacterium
Lineage: Bacteria
Description: partial 16S ribosomal RNA
Rfam family: Bacterial small subunit ribosomal RNA
Source: RNAcentral
UACGUAGGGCGCAAGCGUUGUCCGGAAUUAUUGGGCGUAAAGAGCUCGUAGGCGGUCUGUCGCGUCCGUUGUGAAAACUCGAGGCUCAACCUCGGGCUUGCAGUGGAUACGGGCAGACUAGAGUGCGGUAGGGGAGACUGGAAUUCCUGGUGUAGCGGUGGAAUGCGCAGAUAGUCAGGAGGAACACCGAUGGCGAAGGCAGGUCUCUGGGCCGCAAGCUGACGCUGGAGGAGCGAAAGCAUGGGGAGCGAACAGG